AUGGAGGUAUACGGCUUCAGCGACUCCUUCAGUGGGGUGGACUCCGUGCAGGAGCUGGCCCCGCCGCCCGCCCUACCCCCCAAGCAGCGGCAGCUAGUGAAAACGCCAGUGAGGAAGCUGGUGAGGGUGAAUAUGUCAAUCUGUAUUCCUCUGGCCAGAGCAGCGAGGAGCUGGCUCCCUCUCGAGGGAGCCACCGGCUGGGAAAGACGGACAUCCCAGAGAUCCCUCAGCGGUCAGCGGCGUCCCUGGGAAGGACAGCAGAGACGGCAGUGAGAGGCCCCAAAGUCACCAGAUGCUCUGGAGUCGGC
This 308-nucleotide long non-coding RNA is filed under the name Homo sapiens (human). Its description in RNAcentral is "non-protein coding lnc-UCK1-5:5". Lineage: Eukaryota; Metazoa; Chordata; Mammalia; Primates; Hominidae. The record is from RNAcentral.